This 441-nucleotide ribosomal RNA is filed under the name uncultured bacterium. Its description in RNAcentral is "bacterial SSU rRNA". It matches the Rfam family "Bacterial small subunit ribosomal RNA", at positions 958 to 1399 of the family's 1533-position model. The record is from RNAcentral.
AACGCGAAGAACCUUACCUGGGCUCGAAAUGCAGGAGGCCGGGGUAGAAAUAUCCCUUUUCGCAAGAACCGCUGCGGAGGUGCUGCAUGGCUGUCGUCAGCUCGUGUCGUGAGAUGUUGGGUUAAGUCCCGCAACGAGCGCAACCCUUAUCGUUAGUUGCCAACACGUAAGGUGGGGACUCUAAUGAGACUGCCUAGGUUAACUAGGAGGAAGGCGAGGAUGACGUCAAGUCCGCGUGGCCUUUAUGUCCAGGGCUACACACGUGCUACAAUGGUCGGUACAGAGGGCUGCAAGACCGUAAGGUGGAGCAAAUCCCAGAAAGCCGAUCUCAGUUCAGAUUGUGGACUGCAACUCGUCCACAUGAAGUCGGAAUUGCUAGUAAUGGCGCGUCAGCAACAGCGCCGUGAAUACGUUCCCGGGCCUUGUACACACCGACGCGUA